Molecule: long non-coding RNA, 406 nt
Filed under: Cucumis sativus (cucumber)
Lineage: Eukaryota; Viridiplantae; Streptophyta; Magnoliopsida; Cucurbitales; Cucurbitaceae
Description: long non-coding RNA (CSAT_LNC002519)
Source: RNAcentral
UUGGGGGUUAGUAGAUAUUGGUGCCGUCCGUUUUAAUAGAGUCCUUUUCGCUUUUGUGACUCUAAUCAUAAAUUUGGCAGUGGUUUGUUUCAUUUUUCUUGUCAAAAAGAUAAAUUAAAGAAAGAAAGAUAGGUAGUGAUUUUAAUGCUCUCCUAUCCCUAAACUUUAGUGGCACCCUCUCCUUCAUCUUUUGUGGAUGCCCAUGUAUUCAUUUUUUUAUUGGUUUGAGGUAGUUGUGCUUCUACUUUCAAGUUUAAGCCUCCUUGGAUCAAGAUAACUAUCCUAUGAGUUUUUUUCUUCUUCUUUAGAUUCUAUUUUCAAUUUAGGUUACUAUCAUUUUUUUAAUUUCCAUAAAAACUUAAAAGUUAAAUUUUAAAAUUUAUUAAAAGUUUAUAAAUCGAGAAAG